Molecule: long non-coding RNA, 451 nt
Organism: Micropterus salmoides (largemouth bass)
Lineage: Eukaryota; Metazoa; Chordata; Actinopteri; Centrarchiformes; Centrarchidae
Exons: 3
Source: RefSeq, a predicted model, not a curated record
GCUAUGUGGGAAGGUGUGACCAGGCAUUGCCUUUCUACUAUAAUGUCCAAAUUGCAAUUUGAAUUUCAAUGGAAAAUUGGACCAGGAAAGACAUUGUUGUUCGAAGGGGAAAAGGAUCAUCUUGUGCCUUCGAUGUCACAAGUCAUUGUAGAUAGUGACCUUUUCUUAGUUGCCGGACGCAUCAUAGGUCAUUCUUUCUUGCACAGUGGUCCAUGUCUGACUGGUCUAAGCCAAGCCAUUCUCCAUGUUUUGAGUGGUGGAAUGCCUGAAAUGUCCUGCGUUGACAUUGAAGACUGCUGUGACACAGAUGUCAGGGAGACAGUCAGACUGCUUGAAGGGUCCACAAUACUGACGGCAGAGCAGAAGCGGUCCAUCCAAGUUGGCACUGGGGUGGGAUCUCCCAGGAGUGACCAAUGAAAACAGGAGAUGGCUACUGGAGAAGCUCCUUUAU